AGAUACCAUGUAUGCAUCAACUUCACUCAAGCCAGAUUCUCCAGCUUUUUUUCUCGGAGAGAUGAUUCAAGUCCCUGCACACAUUCCAUCAUCUGUGACAAAAAAUCUCUUGUGGUGCUGCACAUAUCCAACAGUCCUAAAGAUCCAUUCAGUGCCUCCUCUACGGAUUGGUUUUUCCUCUCAUGGCAGAAGGUUUGUUGGGUGAAUGACAUUUGAAGAAAAUCAUCAACACAGUCAUACAAUUCUUUCAGGCCGGCCAACUUUUGGCCUAUCGAUGAGCAUUGUGAUGUCUUCAACUUGUAUAGCUGCUCUUCAAUAAUUACAGUUAGAGGAUGAGUUCUAGAGGGCAAGUUGAUUGAACGCAGAUGCAAAGCGGCCAUUUUUCUAUUCUGCAGAAAAAGGCCUAUCAAUAAUAGAAAGAUACAAUUGAUCUUGCUGUUCAAGCCACCCCAUUGGACCUUAUGGAGGAGCAAUAGAACAUAUGCAAUUCCUUCUUACUAGACCUGUAUCGGUUGUCAUGUUCUGAGUUUUGUGAGACGGUGAGACUCCCGUAAAUAUCUCAUCAAUGCCAUGCUGCAACAAUUUAAGAACAAACUAUUAAAAGAAUUCAUGGUGAUUAUAAUAUUGCCAAGUUUGAUUAUUGCUUCCAUGGCUCCAGACAGAGAGAUCUCCACCAAAUUGCACAGCUUUGAGUUUGAACAUGCACGAGUUAUCAUUCUGUUAUUAUAACCUUGGUGAGCAAUAAUUGACGUAGGUAUCUGACAGAGUUGUUUCAUGAUUUGUUUGCACGAUACAUGCAGGUC
RNAcentral lists this unclassified non-coding RNA (803 nucleotides) under Hevea brasiliensis (rubber tree). The record is from RNAcentral. Lineage: Eukaryota; Viridiplantae; Streptophyta; Magnoliopsida; Malpighiales; Euphorbiaceae.